CAGCAGCCGCGGUAAUACGAAGGGGGCUAACGUUGUUCGGAUUUACUGGGCGUAAAGCGCACGUAGGCGGAUCGAUCAGUCAGGGGUGAAAUCCCAGAGCUCAACUCUGGAACUGCCUUUGAUACUGUCGAUCUGGAGUAUGGAAGAGGUGAGUGGAAUUCCGAGUGUAGAAGUGAAAUUCGUAGAUAUUCGGAGGAACACCAGCGGCGAAGGCGGCUCACUGGUCCAUUACUGACGCUGAGGUGCGAAAGCGUGGGGAGCAAACAGGAUUAGAUACCCGAGUAGUCCCUGUCUCUUAUAC
Molecule: ribosomal RNA, 301 nt
Filed under: uncultured bacterium
Lineage: Bacteria
Description: partial 16S ribosomal RNA
Rfam family: Bacterial small subunit ribosomal RNA
Source: RNAcentral